CGUUGUUUCAUCUGGAUCUCUUAAUGUAUGCACUUACUGUCAUUGGCUGUAGAUAAGAAUGUCUGCUAAAUGGCUAACAGGUAAAGGUAAAAUGUUCUUGCGGUAACAGAAAAAGACAGUGGUUAGAGUUGUUACAUAUUCAUUUUUACAAUUGAAACUAUAACUAUGAUCAUUGUUUGUGACAAAAAGGUUCUAGAAAGAGAAGUAAUGAAUGUGCUCAUCUGCUGAGUGGUUGAACAUCUGCUGAGUGGUUGAACAUCUGCUGAGUGGUUGAACAUCUGCUGAGUGGUUGAACAUCUGCUGAGUGGUUAAAUGUUUGUGUUUCGAUGUAAGAAAUUAUUUCUUCACCUUUCAUCUUAUGUGGUGUUGGAGUCAUUACUUCAGAUCCAUGAUUAGUUACCACAAUAUGUGUGUGUUUCAGUGAGGUGGAUGGGAACCCAGACUACGACAACCUGGACAUCAGUAUGUGUGUGUUUCAG
Esox lucius (northern pike) is the source of this 479-nucleotide long non-coding RNA. The record is from Ensembl. Lineage: Eukaryota; Metazoa; Chordata; Actinopteri; Esociformes; Esocidae.